This 772-nucleotide ribosomal RNA is filed under the name uncultured bacterium. RNAcentral describes it as "bacterial SSU rRNA". It matches the Rfam family "Bacterial small subunit ribosomal RNA", at positions 117 to 925 of the family's 1533-position model. The record is from RNAcentral.
GUGGGAACGUGCCCUUUGGUUCGGAACAACUCAGGGAAACUUGAGCUAAUACCGGAUGUGCCCUUCGGGGGAAAGAUUUAUCGCCAUUGGAGCGGCCCGCGUCUGAUUAGCUAGUUGGUGAGGUAAAGGCUCACCAAGGCGACGAUCAGUAGCUGGUCUGAGAGGAUGAUCAGCCACAUUGGGACUGAGACACGGCCCAAACUCCUACGGGAGGCAGCAGUGGGGAAUCUUGCGCAAUGGGCGAAAGCCUGACGCAGCCAUGCCGCGUGAAUGAUGAAGGUCUUAGGAUUGUAAAAUUCUUUCACCGGGGACGAUAAUGACGGUACCCGGAGAAGAAGCCCCGGCUAACUUCGUGCCAGCAGCCGCGGUAAUACGAAGGGGGCUAGCGUUGCUCGGAAUUACUGGGCGUAAAGGGAGCGUAGGCGGACUGUUAAGUUAGAGGUGAAAGCCCAGGGCUCAACCUUGGAAUUGCCUUUGAUACUGGCAGUCUUGAGUACGGAAGAGGUAUGUGGAACUCCGAGUGUAGAGGUGAAAUUCGUAGAUAUUCGGAAGAACACCAGUGGCGAAGGCGACAUACUGGUCCGUUACUGACGCUGAGGCUCGAAAGCGUGGGGAGCAAACAGGAUUAGAUACCCUGGUAGUCCACGCCGUANACGAUGAGUGCUAGUUGUCGGCAUGCAUGCAUGUCGGUGACGCAGCUAACGCAUUAAGCACUCCGCCUGGGGAGUACGGUCGCAAGAUUAAAACUCAAAGGAAUUGACGGGGGCCCGCA